GGGAAAAGUCCAGCAUUGAAUCCCGCGGCCGUCUCGAUCGGCGGGAAAUGUAGUGUUAGGGAGGGUCCACCAUCAAGGGGUCACGCAACGAGUCCAAGUACUUCUUGAACGGGGCCACUUACCCAUAGAGGGUGCCAGGCCCGCAGUGACUGUCGCCGGCAACGGGAGGAUCUCUCCUCAGAGUCGGGUUGCUUGAGAGUAUUUGGUAAACUCCAUCUAAGGCUAAAUAUGACCACGAGACCGAUAGCGGACAAGUGAGGGAAAGUUGAAAAGAACUUUGAAGAGAGAGUUCAAUAGUACGUGAAACCUUUCAGGGGUAAACCUGAGAAACCCGAAAGAUUCGAAUGGGGAAAUUCAGCGUGUCUCGAAGCGUGCGAGCGGUGGUUGCGCGAUGGACGGCGUUCGCGUCGUUCGCGCCCUCUGCCGCCGACUCGUGGCGAACGCAUGCACUUUGCCCCUAAUAGGACGUCGCGACCCGUUGGACGCCGAUCUAAGGGCCGCGGUGGAGGCCGGGUGGCGCUUCGGCGUUCCGCCCGGCCGGCUCGCUUGGCGGUACGACAGUGGCGCGGGGCCGCGAUAUUUUGCGUCCGGCUCGUCGCAAGUGCAGACGUUAAUCUGGAUGACGGACCUGGCGCCGUCUCCGGACCCGGCCUACUGCCGGGCAUUGAGUCGGCGCCGCACCCCCGGGGCGUCUCGUGCUCAUCGCGAGCUAAGGCGCAUCCAGAGCGUACACGCUGGGGCCCGAAAGAUGGUGAACUAUGCCUGGUCAGGACGAAGUCAGGGGAAACCCUGU
RNAcentral lists this ribosomal RNA (793 nucleotides) under Quedius antipodus. RNAcentral's name for it is "eukaryotic LSU rRNA". It matches the Rfam family "Eukaryotic large subunit ribosomal RNA", at positions 100 to 867 of the family's 3401-position model. The record is from RNAcentral. Lineage: Eukaryota; Metazoa; Arthropoda; Insecta; Coleoptera; Staphylinidae.